UACGAAGGGGGCUAGCGUUGCUCGGAAUCACUGGGCGUAAAGGGUGCGUAGGCGGGUCUUUAAGUCAGGGGUGAAAUCCUGGAGCUCAACUCCAGAACUGCCUUUGAUACUGAAGAUCUUGAGUUCGGGAGAGGUGAGUGGAACUGCGAGUGUAGAGGUGAAAUUCGUAGAUAUUCGCAAGAACACCAGUGGCGGAGGCGACUCUUUGGCCUGUAACUGACGCUGAGGCGCGAAAGCGUGGGGAGCAAACAGG
RNAcentral lists this ribosomal RNA (253 nucleotides) under uncultured bacterium. Its description in RNAcentral is "partial 16S ribosomal RNA". It matches the Rfam family "Bacterial small subunit ribosomal RNA", at positions 524 to 776 of the family's 1533-position model. The record is from RNAcentral.